AUUGUGAUUUAUAGACCACCUACUUCUAUUGCCCACCUGUGUUGCCUUCCUUCCUUAUUUUUUUCUCUUUAAAUUCUUUAAAGAAAGUUUUCUGUCUUCCUUUUAUGGAUUUCUAUGAGACCUUUGUCUUUCAUUCACCUGCCGCUAUGUCGGUUUCUUCUGCGCCUUUCGAUCGGGGAGAACCUCCUUUUCAUCACUUGGAGGAUCCAUGAGAAGCUGGCUCGUAGAGCAUGGCCUUAGAAGGCACAAUUGAAACGCCAAAGAGCACACCCACGCCAAAGAGCACACCCCCUUCUCCUUCAGCGGCAACUCAUUGAUCCGUAAAAGUCUUUGUAUGCAAGUUUGAAGGUUCACAAAUUUAUUUUUUAUACAUAUUGUCAUCCUUCGACGAAGGGAGGUAUGACAGUGACUUGCAUAAUAAUGCUCGAAAAAUGCAAUUGGGUCACUAAAAAGGAUAUAUGAAAUCUUUAUUGACCCAAAUGGUCAAUUUUUGUAUAGUUAUAUUCUUCUGUCAAAAAAAUCUUGUGAUUGUAGUGUUAAAUAUGACUUUUUCUUCCCUAUAGUAGUGUCUAGUGGUUUAGUUUUUGAAUUGUCUCCUUAGUCUUUAGUUAUUUUUUUUUAUAUAGUUUUACGGCCACAGUAGCAUGAGAACCCUUAAA
Molecule: long non-coding RNA, 659 nt
Organism: Manihot esculenta (cassava)
Lineage: Eukaryota; Viridiplantae; Streptophyta; Magnoliopsida; Malpighiales; Euphorbiaceae
Exons: 2
Source: RefSeq, a predicted model, not a curated record